Small nuclear RNA from Lolium rigidum, 105 nucleotides. The record is from RefSeq and is a predicted model, not a curated record. Lineage: Eukaryota; Viridiplantae; Streptophyta; Magnoliopsida; Poales; Poaceae.
GUCGUCGGGACUUCCAAGGGACAUCCGAUAAAAUCAGAAAGAUACAGAGAAGAUUAGCAUGGCGCAACGAUGAUACACACAAAUCGAGAAACGGUCCAAUAUUUU